GCCCGAUUAGUUCAGCUGGAUAGAAUGUGUGCCUACGGAGCAGAUGGUCGUAGGUUCGAAUCCUGCAUCGGGUA
RNAcentral lists this transfer RNA (74 nucleotides) under Perkinsus marinus ATCC 50983. It matches the Rfam family "tRNA". From Rfam's summary of the family: Transfer RNA (tRNA) molecules are approximately 80 nucleotides in length. Their secondary structure includes four short double-helical elements and three loops (D, anti-codon, and T loops). Lineage: Eukaryota; Perkinsozoa; Perkinsida; Perkinsidae. The record is from Rfam by way of RNAcentral.